GCUAAUUUGGCAGAAAAAUUGUAUCAAAUUUAGAAUUUGGAAAUGGGUUACCAAUUAGUA
Molecule: transfer RNA, 60 nt
Filed under: Ixodes pacificus (western blacklegged tick)
Lineage: Eukaryota; Metazoa; Arthropoda; Arachnida; Ixodida; Ixodidae
Description: tRNA-Leu
Source: RNAcentral